AUGGCCCACCUCUCUCCGCGCGGAACCCACAGCGCCCCAGGGAAGCCUAAGCGGGGGAAACGGGGCGAGGGCGCUUCGCUGGGAUCCCCUGGGUGGGCGCUGCAUGGCCGCCCCUGCCAAGGCACCCAAGGGGCCAAGGAAAGCCCCCUUAGCGCAGGGAUCCAGGCCCCACGGAAGGCGCUUGGGGGAGCUGGCGGGGGUCUCCCGUCUCCCCUUUCCCCUCCCCCGCGACCCCUUUACCUCUUUGUCCUCGCUCCCGAUUCUCCUUUUCUUUCCCGCAACAUCCAGGGGGGGGUCCUUCCGCCCCUCCUCCCUUUUCCGAAGGCCCCCCCCCCCCCAGUUACGGCGCAGAGCAGCAAUCCGGCGCAGAAGCUCCACGUCCGGGAGAAGCAGGCAGUUCGGGAGGGGGGCUCUCUCCGCUCAUUCCGGAAACAGAAGCCGGAUUGCGGGGAGGAGCAGAAGGAAGAGGUGCGAUAUACGGGGGGGGGGGUUGAGGAUUGUGGGGGCGGCGUGAAAGCAGGUUGUGCCGGGAAGGCAGGGAAAGAAUUGUUUGCGGGGGAGAGAAAAAGGUUUUUCCCCUCCUCACUUACUUCUGGGGAUCAGGAGAGCGCGGGAGGGGCUGAUCCUGGCAAUCCAGCUGCAAAGUGGUCCCCCCCUACAAUGUUUACAUUGAAAAUCCUUUUCCCCCCCCGCCCCACACGCCAUGAUCUUAGAUCCAUUCCAUGUUUUAGGUAUUGGUGCAAAUUGAGCAGCGGGUUUGGGUCUGUGACUCCUGUGUUACGGGGAAAAUGGGGCUUGGGCUUUUGCACACACACACACACACAGAGAGAGAGAGAGAGAGAGAGAGAGAGAGAGAGAGAGAGAGAGAGAGAGAGCCGACACAAUUCCUCCCUUGUGUCUCCGUCAGAGGUAGCACAAUGCGGCCCGGAAGAAAGCAAGGCAGCUGUUGAUCUGUUUGCGCGCAGAGCCCCCCCCCCCAUGCGAGGAGUGAAGCAGCCCAGAACUAAAGCGCGUUGCAAUUUGUACACCCUCAAAUAA
RNAcentral lists this long non-coding RNA (1038 nucleotides) under Podarcis muralis (Common wall lizard). Its description in RNAcentral is "lncRNA (ENSPMRG00000013285.1)". The record is from RNAcentral. Lineage: Eukaryota; Metazoa; Chordata; Lepidosauria; Squamata; Lacertidae.